CUGGCCCAUCUAAAAUCUACAUCUCCAACUGUGACCUUCUUCGACGUUAAUGAUGGUGAUGAUCGACUCCGGCGCUUCCACUCCCUACAGAUCACCAUUUCUUCUCUGAAUUAAUCUCGGUCCUUUACUUCUGUUCUUAAUUCCUUUUUUAAUUAUUUCGUUUCACCUCUUACUGGUUCAAUUCAACCUAUAAAUCUUAAAUCACCUAAUCCAUAAAGCCUCUGCUUCUCCUCCAUCUUCGUCUUUUCAUUGUCUUUGAGAUUUUCUUUACCAGUCUGCAACAAUGUUAUUAUUCCCUCUUUGAUGAAAUUGAGUUAAGAGAUUGAAAAGUUGCAGUUUCUAUGUUUUUUUUUUUAAAAUAUCAGGAUAAUAUGGAUGCAGGUGGUGACAACAAUUUAAUUGGUCAGUUCAGUAUGGGGUUCUAUUCAUCAUUCUUGGUUGCAGAUUGCAUAAGUUAUUUUGUUGUCCUUUCUGUGUACUCUGAUCAUUGUUAUACUCACCUCUCCACCAACUGAAUAUUGUGUUAAUUAUUUAUGUUUUGAAGGUUACUGUGUCAGCGAAGAGCCCAAAGUCUCAUUAAGCAAUAUGUAAUAGGAAGAGAAGCAAAUCCAAGCAGUUAUACCAUUACGGAAGAGACUGAUCCUCAGCUAAUAAUUCCUAGGGGAACAUGUAGUAGUUAGCAUCUUAAGUGGAUGACGAAGUCCAGAGCGAAUUCAGAAGCUCGUGAAAAACUGUUUGCAGUUUGUUUUGAUCUAUAUAUAUAUAUACUUGGCAGGAAAAAGGAUACACUCAUACACAAAAGAGGUUGAAGUUGAGAUGACUCAGCUGAAUCAAAAAGAAAAAAAACAGAUCUGGAUGACCAAACUGAGAGAAGAAAGAAGACCAAGAAGGAAGUUGAGAGAUACCGGGCUCGAGAGCUUACUAAUGAGACGCGACCAAUUUGGCUCUUGAACUCUAAGGAGGUGACAACAGAGGAGUACAAUGAGUUUUACAUAAAAGCUUUCAACUCGUAUUUGGACCCCCGCUGGCAUCAACCCACUUCACAACAGUAUGUUGGAGGGAAAACAUCUAUUGGAAUAGCAUAUAUCCAUGAAACAACCCAAGAAGGUUAUGAUUUGUAUCUGUUAAGAAGUGGUGACACCAUGUUGAUCCACUAAUGAUAUAUCUCUUAUUGUAGCGUGAGCUUGAGUUUAAAUUAAUCUUUCAUGCACCACCAGUGUCUAGGGAAGGAUGAUGUGGUUAAUUAAAAGACAGAAAACACAAGGCUUGAUGUUAGGAUUUUUCAAUUCUCCUAAC
This is a long non-coding RNA of Brassica oleracea var. oleracea, 1296 nucleotides long. RefSeq lists it as uncharacterized. NCBI's taxonomy places the organism in Eukaryota, Viridiplantae, Streptophyta, Magnoliopsida, Brassicales, Brassicaceae. The transcript has 5 exons. The record is from RefSeq and is a predicted model, not a curated record.